GAUGAACGCUGGCGGCGUGCCUAAUACAUGCAAGUCGAGCGAACGGACGAGAAGCUUGCUUCUCUGAUGUUAGCGGCGGACGGGUGAGUAACACGUGGAUAACCUACCUAUAAGACUGGGAUAACUUCGGGAAACCGGAGCUAAUACCGGAUAAUAUUUUGAACCGCAUGGUUCAAAAGUGAAAGACGGUCUUGCUGUCACUUAUAGAUGGAUCCGCGCUGCAUUAGCUAGUUGGUAAGGUAACGGCUUACCAAGGCAACGAUGCAUAGCCGACCUGAGAGGGUGAUCGGCCACACUGGAACUGAGACAGGGUCCAGACUCCUACGGGAGGCAGCAGUAGGGAAUCGUCCGCAAUGGGCGAAAGCCUGACGGAGCAACGCCGCGUGAGUGAUGAAGGUCUUCGGAUCGUAAAACUCUGUUAUUAGGGAAGAACAUAUGUGUAAGUAACUGUGCACAUCUUGACGGUACCUAAUCAGAAAGCCACGGCUAACUACGUG
RNAcentral lists this ribosomal RNA (497 nucleotides) under uncultured bacterium. RNAcentral's name for it is "partial 16S ribosomal RNA". It matches the Rfam family "Bacterial small subunit ribosomal RNA", at positions 28 to 507 of the family's 1533-position model. The record is from RNAcentral.